CAGGCCACCAAAGCAGCAGGAUGUGAGCUGCCACACUGAAAAAGGUUAAGCAGCUCCUAGACUUUGGAUGCUCCAAAUUUUGUAUACCUGAUAGAAGAUUUCUUUAUGUGGAUUGCAGAUAACAAAGUGCUAUUACAGGUGGAUUUUCUGUCCUUAGCCGUGGCUCCGCCAUGACUCAUGACUUCAUCAUACUGAGAAUUUCCACAUGAUGAAUAAUGGAGUGAGCGGUUAAGAAACAUGCCCACCAAACUCAUCCGAAGAGCUCACACAACGCUCCAGGGUUCACUCUCACAGGCAGAAACAUGACAUCUUGAGGAUUUGCUAAUUUUACUGGAAGGGGAGGAGGUGUCAAUCUAUUCCAGGCGAGAGAUCAGAGACUCCAUACCAGGCAGCUACAGCUGUCUUGGGCCAAGAUUUAACCACAGUUCUCAGGAAAAGAACCAUUAGCAGAAGGUGGGACUGACAGACUUCCACACAGAAGAAAAAACUAUUGCCAGCAGAGAAACAAACCUAAUUCAUAACAGUUGGGGCACAGGGAACCAGGCAUCAUUGCUCCCAGAAGAGACUGAAGCACCACUGCAAAAAAACUCCACAGACUAAAUCUUGGAAGUCUGAACAUUUCUGUAAGGAUGAUGGGAUGGCCAUGGCUGAAGUGACUGUCACCCUGAAUUCUGUGAAGGAGAUAUGAAGACAUGGGCAAACAAAGAAUGCUGGACUCAACCAACACUCAUCUGCCAGAACCACAUGUUAAGGGGAAUAAAAUGUCCAUUAGAGGCGAUUAUCUUAAAAAUGCAUAUAUAUUCCACACACUGAAAAGCUGGUGGACAAUCAGUGUCAGUAACCACCAACAACCAAGUUUAUGAAAAAGUUCUGUGAUCUUGAAGGUAAAAGUUCUAGAGGAACAUGGUCAGCAAUAUGGACAACUCAAAUGAUGAUGACUCCACGGCUGUUUGGAAGUCUUGCCUCUUUGUAUUUAUGUGCACAACUCAUAGCAGGAACUUUGUCUGCUACCACCUCCUGAACUGUUUCUGAAGGAAACGUAGGAUGGAGUUUUGUCUUCUAGAGGGAUUCCCUCACACUUAUGAACAUCUUGCAAGGUCCAAGCUGCCAGCCAACCAGUUCCAUGGAGCCUGGAAAAAAAGCACACAGGUAAUCAGCCACCCCAACAAGUUGAGAUGGUCAAGCAUCUCAACUCUACGAUUCCCACAAAAUCAUCAAAAAGCAGUCUCAAGAAACCUGAUAAUGCCCACAAAAUCAACAGGAAGCAGUCACAAGAGAUCUUAUGAUGCUCUAUUCCCAUCCAUUAAAGACCCCAAACGCCCCAAAUUUUUAUAACAAACAAAGGAUGGAAUGUAAUGAUUCAGUCACACAGCAUGGCUGACACUUCUGGGUUCUAAGGCCACGCAUGCAUGUGAGGACAAGCCCUCAGGCAGAAGGGCCAAAUGGCCCCAGGGGAUCUUAAAGGACCCUGCAUGACCCAUGUGCGGCAUGGUUGCAUCACCAAUGUCUGACACAACUGUGUGAGCCCUUGUGUGCAUGUGUGAACGGUCAUCUGUGUAUGACAUAACCAUGUCAUCCCCCUGUAUGCAUGCAUUAGGCAGCUUUUAAAAG
Myodes glareolus (Bank vole) is the source of this 1611-nucleotide long non-coding RNA. RefSeq lists it as uncharacterized. The record is from RefSeq and is a predicted model, not a curated record. Lineage: Eukaryota; Metazoa; Chordata; Mammalia; Rodentia; Cricetidae.